RNAcentral lists this ribosomal RNA (449 nucleotides) under uncultured bacterium. RNAcentral's name for it is "partial 16S ribosomal RNA". It matches the Rfam family "Bacterial small subunit ribosomal RNA", at positions 28 to 523 of the family's 1533-position model. The record is from RNAcentral.
GACGAACGCUGGCGGCGCGCUUAACACAUGCAAGUCGAACGCCCUAGCAAUAGGGAGUGGCAGACGGGUGAGUAACACGUGGGAACGUGCCCUUCGGUUCGGAAUAACUCAGGGAAACUUGAGCUAAUACCGGAUACGUGCGAGAGCAGAAAGAUUUAUCGCCGAAGGAUCGGCCCGCGUCCGAUUAGCUAGUUGGUGAGGGAAUGGCUCACCAAGGCGACGAACGGUAGCUGGUAUGAGAGGAUGACCAGCCACACUGGGACUGAGACACGGCCCAGACUCCUACAGGAGGCAGCAGUGGGGAAUAUUGACCAAUGGGCGCAAGCCUGAUCCAGCCAUGCCGCGUGAGUGAUGAAGGCCCUAGGGUUGUAAAGCUCUCUCGCCAGGGACGAUAAUGACGGUACCUGGAUAAGAAGCCCCGGCUAACUUCGUGCCAGCCGCCGCGGUAA